GUGCCAGCAGCCGCGGUAAUACAUAGGGGUCAAGCGUUGUCCGGAUUUAUUGGGCGUAAAGAGCUCGUAGGCGGUUCAACAAGUCGGUCGUAAAAGUUUAGGGCUCAACCCUAAAAUGUCGAUCGAUGCUGUUGUGACUAGGAUACGGUAGAGGUGAGUGGAAUUCCGAGUGUAGCGGUGAAAUUCAUAGAUAUUGGGAAGAACACCAGUGGCGAAAGCGGCUACCUGGUCCGAUUUUGACGCUGAGGCGCGAAAGCGUGGGGAGCAAACAGGAUUAGAUA
Molecule: ribosomal RNA, 281 nt
Filed under: uncultured bacterium
Lineage: Bacteria
Description: partial 16S ribosomal RNA
Rfam family: Bacterial small subunit ribosomal RNA
Source: RNAcentral